ACAACUUCAACUUCACUUUAUUUCAAAUUUGAGAGUUGAAGGACAGAAUCCAGAAUCCUUGUUCUGGACAAGCUACAAGUUCUAAUUUUGUUUUCUUUUCAGUGUUUAAUUCCCUAUUUUUAUUUCUUCAGUGUUUCGGUGCUCAGCUGUGAUGAAGGGGAAAACAAACAUGGAAUUUUAGGCUACAAAAGGCCGUAACUUUGGAAGAUCCAGCACUUGCUUCAGCUUAUUCAGCUGCAAGUCAGGCCACAACCACCACCAGCAACACCACAUCCAGCACACCAUCUACAUCCAGUGACACACAGCCUGAAGCAGUUGUGAAUGACCUUAGAGACCCCAAUUAGACGCUGUGCUUUUUGAAACAAAGCCUUAUUCCAGACAUCUGAAUUGCUGCCCAUGUGACUUUUUUACGCAAACAGCAGUAACGGCACUGACAAACUGCUCCCUCCAGCUGCUGCUCCCCACCACCAAGGCCAGGUCUGCUAUCAACAUGACAGGCAUCCCAUCAAAGUGUAACAAAAUGAAUCAUUUAAACUUUGGACUGUGGCUGCUGACAC
Non-coding RNA from Plectropomus leopardus (leopard coralgrouper), 557 nucleotides. The record is from RefSeq and is a predicted model, not a curated record. Lineage: Eukaryota; Metazoa; Chordata; Actinopteri; Perciformes; Serranidae.